RNAcentral lists this ribosomal RNA (349 nucleotides) under uncultured eukaryote. RNAcentral's name for it is "SSU rRNA". It matches the Rfam family "Eukaryotic small subunit ribosomal RNA", at positions 594 to 945 of the family's 1831-position model. The record is from RNAcentral.
AUAGCGUAUAUUAAAGUUGUUGUGGUUAAAACGCCCGUAGUUGAUUUUUCGACUUUGGAGCGUGGUAUCUCGAAAGAGUUUUAACUGCGUCUGCCAAGUCUGAUCUUCUUGUUUUCUAUGGAUGCUCUUUAUUGAGUGUCUUUAGUGACUUGAACGUUUACUUUGAAAAAAUUAGAGUGCUUAAAGCAAGCUUCAUCGCUUGAAUAAAGUGCAUGGGAUAAUGGAAUAGGACUUUAGUCUUAUUUUGUUGGUUUUAGAGAUUAAAGUAAUGAUUAAGAGGAAUAGACGGGGGCAUUUGUAUUGUUGCGUUAGAGGUGAAAUUCUUGGAUCGCAGCAAGACAAACAACUG